UACGUAGGGUGCGAGCGUUGUCCGGAAUUACUGGGCGUAAAGAGCUCGUAGGUGGUUUGUCGCGUUGUCCGUGAAAACUCACAGCUCAACUGUGGGCGUGCGGGCGAUACGGGCAGACUGGAGUACUGCAGGGGAGACUGGAAUUCCUGGUGUAGCGGUGGAAUGCGCAGAUAUCAAGUGGAACACCAGUGGCGAAGGCGAAUCCCUGGAAAAUACCUGACACUGAGGCACGAAAGCUAGGGGAGCAAACAGG
RNAcentral lists this ribosomal RNA (253 nucleotides) under uncultured bacterium. Its description in RNAcentral is "partial 16S ribosomal RNA". It matches the Rfam family "Bacterial small subunit ribosomal RNA", at positions 524 to 776 of the family's 1533-position model. The record is from RNAcentral.